GUGCUCACCUUGGCAGCACAUAUACUAAAAUUGGAACUAUACAGAGAUUAGCAUGGCCCCUUGUGCAAGGAUGAAACACAUGGAUUUUGGUGAACACUUAU
This 101-nucleotide small nuclear RNA is filed under the name Chinchilla lanigera (long-tailed chinchilla). Lineage: Eukaryota; Metazoa; Chordata; Mammalia; Rodentia; Chinchillidae. The record is from RNAcentral.